AAAGUCCGUAACAAGGUUUCCGUAGGUGAACCUGCGGAAGGAUCAUUACCGAGUGAGGGCCCUCUGGGUCCAACCUCCCACCCGUGUUUAUCGUACCUUGUUGCUUCGGCGGGCCCGCCUCACGGCCGCCGGGGGGCAUCCGCCCCCGGGCCCGCGCCCGCCGAAGACACCAAUGAACUCUUGUCUGAAGAUUGCAGUCUGAGCAGAUUAGCUAAAUCAGUUAAAACUUUCAACAACGGAUCUCUUGGUUCCGGCAUCGAUGAAGAACGCAGCGAAAUGCGAUAAGUAAUGUGAAUUGCAGAAUUCAGUGAAUCAUCGAGUCUUUGAACGCACAUUGCGCCCCCUGGUAUUCCGGGGGGCAUGCCUGUCCGAGCGUCAUUGCUGCCCUCAAGCACGGCUUGUGUGUUGGGCUUCGCCCCCCGGCUCCCGGGGGGCGGGCCCGAAAGGCAGCGGCGGCACCGCGUCCGGUCCUCGAGCGUAUGGGGCUUUGUCACCCGCUCUGUAGGCCCGGCCGGCGCCCGCCGGCGACCCCAAAUCAAUCUAUCCAGGUUGACCUCGGAUCAGGUAGGGAUACCCGCUGAACUUAANCAUAUCAAUAA
This 599-nucleotide ribosomal RNA is filed under the name Penicillium simplicissimum. RNAcentral's name for it is "eukaryotic LSU rRNA". The stretch from base 225 to 378 matches the Rfam family "5.8S ribosomal RNA". Lineage: Eukaryota; Fungi; Ascomycota; Eurotiomycetes; Eurotiales; Aspergillaceae. The record is from RNAcentral.